UCGAAAGGUGUGCUAAUACCGCAUAAUCUCUGAGGAGAAAAGCAGGGGAUUCGCACGAACCUUGCGCUUUUGGAGCGGCCGAUGUCUGAUUAGCUAGUUGGUGAGGUAAAGGCUCACCAAGGCAUCGAUCAGUAGCUGGUCCGAGAGGACGACCAGCCACACUGGGACUGAGACACGGCCCAGACUCCUACGGGAGGCAGCAGUGGGGAAUUUUGGACAACGGGGGCAAGCCUGAUCCAGCCAUGCCGCGUGAGUGAAGAAGGCCUUCGGGUUGUAAAGCUCUUUCAGCCGGAACGAAACGGUCACGGCCAAUACUCGUGACUAAUGACGGUACCGGAAGAAGAAGCACCGGCUAACUACGUGCCAGCAGCCGCGGUAAUACGUAGGGUGCGAGCGUUAAUCGGAAUUACUGGGCGUAAAGCGUGCGCAGGCGGUUUUGUAAGUCAGAUGUGAAAUCCCCGGGCUUAACCUGGGAACUGC
RNAcentral lists this ribosomal RNA (480 nucleotides) under uncultured bacterium. Its description in RNAcentral is "bacterial SSU rRNA". It matches the Rfam family "Bacterial small subunit ribosomal RNA", at positions 151 to 624 of the family's 1533-position model. The record is from RNAcentral.